CCUCCCGCCCCUCAGGUGAGGCCCUACGCCCUCUCUCCUCUCAGGUGAGGCCCUACGCCCUCGCUCCAGGGGAGGUCGGCUCCGUCGCCCUCUCCAGGCCGCGGAAACAGUAUUGAAGAAGUGGCAGCAGCUGAGAAUGCCGGGAGAGCAGGCUGGAGGCAAAGUGCAAAGGGAAGAGAGCAAAUCUCUGAUGGCUUUGCAGUGCAUUCCCAGGUGAUGACUACAGAGACCCCCGGGGGGAACCACAGCUCCAUUUCCAUCACCUCUGACACUUGUGAGAAGAGACAAACCAGAGGUUGCUUGGCCGCCUUCCUUCUUCCUGCCAGCCCCAGAACACAAAGCACAGUUACUGACACACUGAUCCUGAGCUGGAAGGGAGCCACAGGGAUCAUCCAGUCCAAAUCCUGGCCCUGCACAGACACCCCAAUAAUCUCACCCGGGCCUGAGAGUUUUCCAAAUGCUCCUGGAGCUCUGGCAGCCUUGGGGCUGUGCCCAUUCCCCAGGGAGCCUGGGCAGUGCCCCAGCAAUCUCUGUAGGAAGAAUAUUUUCAUCAUUCAGUCUAACCCUCACCUGACACAGCUCCAGCUGUUCCUUGGGUCCUGUCUGUGGUCACAGAGAGCAGAGAUUGGAGCUGCCCCUUGGGAGGAAGCUGCAGCCCCUGGUGAGCUCUGCCCUCACCCUCUUCUCCAAGCUGAACAGACCAAGUGACCUCAGCUCCUGCCUUUCUUGCAAGAAGUUUAACGGACAUUUGUUUUCCAGCCCUUGGUCUACAUUUACAAAUCUAGGCAGUACAUGACCCUCAGAGAGUGUAAACCCCAAAACUGCCUACAACCCUCACUGGGCAUUGCCCACAUCUCCUCAAGAUCCUCCCCUUUAGCAGUGGGAUAAGAAGACACCAGCAGGGAUAAAUAAUCUGGAAUUUCCUAGGAAUAAGGGAAUGUUCCCUGUCCCAGUGGUGGCAGACACCUCAAUGCUUCUGAAAAUGCUCUGAGCAGGAGAAGAGGGAGGAAAAGAAACAGCUGAUCUGAUCAUGCUUUGAUCCUUCACAUUUAAAUGUAGGUAACCAGGAGUUAGGGAAGCCUCCCUACCUUCGGGGAACCUGAGCCUGCUGUGCUUGGCCUCUGCAGCAGGGAUGCAGAUGUGUGAGAUGAUCCCAAGGAGAUUAUCUCCCUGCUCCCAGAAGCACCCAGAGAUGCAGGGAGUGCAGCUGGAUUGAAGAGACAUUUUUCUGUUUGCUUAGGCCACUUCCAGUUUCUAUUAUAAUGUCAAUCUGGAUUUGGGGGCCUCCUGGCCAUGGUCUCCACAGAAAUAUUUCUGCCAGAGUUUGUAAAACACCUUUUGCAGUUAAAUUAACAGUCUCACCUCACUGUUUCCUACAGCAUUCUCCCUGAGAAACUAGCUGCUCAUGGCUUCCAUGGGUGCACUGUUUGCUGGGCAAAAACCUGGCUGCUGCCUGGGCACAGGGAAUGGUGGGAAUGGAGUUACAUCCAGCUUGGGCUGGGCACCACUGAGGAACCCCAGAGCUUAGUAUUGGACCCAGCACUGUUUAAUAUCUUUAUCCAUGAUGUGGACAAGGGGAUUUGCCACCCUCAGUACGUUCUUAGGUGACACCAAGAUGGGUGAGAGUGUGGAGGGCAGGAAGGCUCUCCAGAGGACAGGCUGGAUCUCUGGGCUGAGGACAACGGAAUGAGGGUCAACAAGGCCAAGU
Molecule: long non-coding RNA, 1708 nt
Filed under: Cyanistes caeruleus (blue tit)
Lineage: Eukaryota; Metazoa; Chordata; Aves; Passeriformes; Paridae
Description: lncRNA (ENSCCEG00000020460.1)
Source: RNAcentral